CCCUUAGAUGUUCUGGGCGGCCCGCGCACUACAAUGGCGCUUUCAGCGAGUUCCUAUGUUGAAUUUUCCUUGGUAUUCUUGGAAGCGGCGUCUUGACUUGGGAUAGAUCCUUGUAAUUGUUGGUUUUGAACGAGGAAUUCCUUGUAAUCGCGGUUGAUCAGCUCGCGUUGAAUACGUCCCUGCCCUUUGUACACACCGCCCGUCGCUACUACCGAUUGAACGGUUUAGUGAGGGCCUCGGAUUGGUCUCGGCCCGCUCUUUACCGGGCGGCGCCGUUGGUCGAGAAGACGCUCGAACUUGAUCGUUUAGAGGAAGUAAAAGUCGUAACA
RNAcentral lists this ribosomal RNA (329 nucleotides) under uncultured eukaryote. RNAcentral's name for it is "partial 18S ribosomal RNA". It matches the Rfam family "Eukaryotic small subunit ribosomal RNA", at positions 1470 to 1796 of the family's 1831-position model. The record is from RNAcentral.